AGUGAACGCUGGCGGUAGGCCUAACACAUGCAAGUCGAACGGCAGCACAGUAAGAGCUUGCUCUUACGGGUGGCGAGUGGCGGACGGGUGAGGAAUACAUCGGAAUCUACUUUUUCGUGGGGGAUAACGUAGGGAAACUUACGCUAAUACCGCAUACGACCUACGGGUGAAAGCAGGGGAUCUUCGGACCUUGCGCGAUUGAAUGAGCCGAUGUCGGAUUAGCUAGUUGGCGGGGUAAAGGCCCACCAAGGCGACGAUCCGUAGCUGGUCUGAGAGGAUGAUCAGCCACACUGGAACUGAGACACGGUCCAGACUCCUACGGGAGGCAGCAGUGGGGGAUAUUGGACAAUGGGCGCAAGCCUGAUCCAGCCAUACCGCGUGGGUGAGGAAGGCCUUCGGGUUGUAAAGCCCUUUUGUUGGGAAAGAAAAGCAGCAGGUUAAUACCCCGCUGUUCUGACGGUACCCAAAGAAUAAGCACCGGCUAACUUCGUG
Molecule: ribosomal RNA, 492 nt
Filed under: uncultured bacterium
Lineage: Bacteria
Description: partial 16S ribosomal RNA
Rfam family: Bacterial small subunit ribosomal RNA
Source: RNAcentral